RNAcentral lists this non-coding RNA (24 nucleotides) under Cricetulus griseus (Chinese hamster). Lineage: Eukaryota; Metazoa; Chordata; Mammalia; Rodentia; Cricetidae. The record is from RNAcentral.
GUAUAGGGAUGGGAACUUAACUGG